GUAUUAUUAGUAUAAUUGUUUAAUUAUGUCAUUUUUCCAAAAUGGUGAUCUACUAGAAGUAGAUAAUACA
Molecule: transfer RNA, 70 nt
Filed under: Echeneibothrium williamsi
Lineage: Eukaryota; Metazoa; Platyhelminthes; Cestoda; Rhinebothriidea; Echeneibothriidae
Description: tRNA-Gly
Source: RNAcentral